Molecule: ribosomal RNA, 484 nt
Filed under: uncultured bacterium
Lineage: Bacteria
Description: partial 16S ribosomal RNA
Rfam family: Bacterial small subunit ribosomal RNA
Source: RNAcentral
AUUGAACGCUGGCGGCAGGCCUAACACAUGCAAGUCGAGCGGAUGAAGGGAGCUUGCGCCCGUAUUCAGCGGCGGACGGGUGAGUAAUGACUAGGAAUCUGCCUGGCAGUGGGGGAUAACGUCCCGACACGGACGCGAAUAUCGCACACGUUCACAGGUAGAAAGUCGGGGUUCUUCGGACCACACGCUAUCUGCUGACACUAGGUCGGAUUAGCUAGUCGGUAGGGUAAAGGCCUACCAAGGCGACGAUCCGUAACUGAUCUGAGAGGCUGAUCAGUCACACUGGAACUGAGACACGGUCCAGACUCCUACGGGAGGCAGCAGUGGGGAAUAUUGGGCAAUGGGCGAAAGCCUGAUGGAGCAAUGCCGCGUGAGUGAUGAAGGUCUUCGGAUUGUAAAACUCUUUAAGUUGGGAAGAAGGACAGUGUGUUAAUACCUUGAUGUUUUGACGGUACCAAAAGAAAAAGCCACGGCUAACUACGUG